GAUGAACGCUGGCGGCGUGCCUAAUACAUGCAAGUCGAGCGAACGGACGAGAAGCUUGCUUCUCUGAUGUUAGCGGCGGACGGGUGAGUAACACGUGGAUAACCUACCUAUAAGACUGGGAUAACUUCGGGAAACCGGAGCUAAUACCGGAUGAUAUUUUGAACCGCAUGGUUCAAAAGUGAAAGACGGUCUUGCUGUCACUUAUAGAUGGAUCCGCGCUGCAUUAGCUAGUUGGUAAGGUAAUGGCUUACCAAGGCAACGAUGCAUAGCCGACCUGAGAGGGUGAUAGGCCACACUGGAACUGAGACACGGUCCAGACUACUACGGGAGGCAGCAGUAGGGAAUCUUCCGCAAUGGGCGAAAGCCUGACGGAGCAACGCCGCGUGAGUGAUGAAGGUCUUCGGAUCGUAAAACUCUGUUAUUAGGGAAGAACAUAUGUGUAAGUAACUGUGCACAUCUUGACGGUACCUAAUCAGAAAGCCACGGCUAACUACGUG
This 497-nucleotide ribosomal RNA is filed under the name uncultured bacterium. RNAcentral's name for it is "partial 16S ribosomal RNA". It matches the Rfam family "Bacterial small subunit ribosomal RNA", at positions 28 to 507 of the family's 1533-position model. The record is from RNAcentral.